GAUUACCUCAAUUUCUUUUGCCUUGGUAAACGGGAAGAAAAUCCACAGCAGAUGUCCAGUACUAAUGGUGAAGCGAUCUCCGAUGCUUAUAAAUUUAAGCGGUUCAUGAUUUAUGUCCAUGCAAAGGGAAUGAUUGUGGAUGAUGAGUAUAUCAUUAUUGGAUCUGCGAAUAUUAACCAGAGAUCCAUGGCUGGUUCAAAAGACACUGAGAUAGCUAUGGGUGCAUAUCAACCCCAUUACAGUUGGGCUGCAAAGAAGAAACACCCACUUGGGCAGGUAUAUGGAUAUAGAAUGUCAUUGUGGGCUGAGCAUCUUGGUGAGGUCCAAGGAUUGUUCGCAGAGCCUGAGAGUUUGGAAUGCGUGAAGAAAGUAAAUAAUAUUGCUGAAGCCAACUGGAAGAGAUAUACAGAUCCGAAUUUCACAUUAUUGCAGGGCCAUCUUCUCAGGUAUCCUAUGCAGGUAGAUGCUGAUGGGAAGGUAGGCCUCCUACCUGGAUAUGAGAAUUUCCCGGAUGCAGGUGGUAAGGUGCUUGGAGCUCAUUCCAUCAAAGUUCCUGAUAUUUUAACAACGUAAUCUUGUCUUUCCCCAUCCCCUUGUGUUCAUAAAAAACCGAAUAUGUAUUGGAUGUUGCUGGGUUUCAUAGUAUGGCAGAUUCAAAGAGCAGUGCUUUGUUUGAUGUUUUUACUCAGAGCUGUAAUUUUGUGUGGUGUCCUAUUCUUGUGCAAAGUGUAAUAAGGAUGACGUGAAUAUUGUUGUGCAAAGUGUGACAAGGAUGACAUGUGGAUACUGGCCCGUACUGAAUGAAUGGUUUAUAGUAGGGGCGUGUACGAUUGGUUUGAAUUGGUUUACAGUACUUUUUGGUUUUAAUUUAAU
RNAcentral lists this unclassified non-coding RNA (873 nucleotides) under Hevea brasiliensis (rubber tree). The record is from RNAcentral. Lineage: Eukaryota; Viridiplantae; Streptophyta; Magnoliopsida; Malpighiales; Euphorbiaceae.